GAGAAGCUUGCUUCUUGGGUGGCGAGUGGCGAACGGGUGAGUAACAUAUCGGAACGUACCGAGCAGUGGGGGAUAACUAAUCGAAAGAUUAGCUAAUACCGCAUAUAUUCUGAGGAAGAAAGCAGGGGACCAUUUGGCCUUGCGCUGUUUGAGCGGCCGAUAUCUGAUUAGCUAGUUGGUGGGGUAAAGGCCUACCAAGGCGACGAUCAGUAGCGGGUCUGAGAGGAUGAUCCGCCACACUGGGACUGAGACACGGCCCAGACUCCUACGGGAGGCAGCAGUGGGGAAUUUUGGACAAUGGGCGCAAGCCUGAUCCAGCCAUGCCGCGUGUCUGAAGAAGGCCUUCGGGUUGUAAAGGACUUUUGUCAGGGAAGAAAAGGACAGGGUUAAUACCCCUGUCUGAUGACGUACCUGAAGAAU
This 420-nucleotide ribosomal RNA is filed under the name Neisseria pharyngis. Its description in RNAcentral is "bacterial SSU rRNA". It matches the Rfam family "Bacterial small subunit ribosomal RNA", at positions 73 to 487 of the family's 1533-position model. Lineage: Bacteria; Pseudomonadati; Pseudomonadota; Betaproteobacteria; Neisseriales; Neisseriaceae. The record is from RNAcentral.